CGUCUGCCAGUGUUAGUCAUAGAUAUAUAUCUAUGACUGUUAGUAGUCAGCCAGACCAACCACUUUUUAUUUUAUUUACACUAACGUUAGCUUAGCACUUAACAGUCAGUCAUUACGUUUAUUUUUGAUAACUGACUGACACAGGCGGAGAGAAAGAGGAAUCACAGCGCACUGCUUCACUGUACAGUUCAGCAUGGAAAGGAGUGGAGUUCUUAACCACCAGUUUAUGCCAUGAAAUCAACUCUCACCACUUAUCUGCAGAGAGAAAGAAGAAACAAUGAUGAACAAUGAUUAGCUGUUUAUUAUUUAAUAACAGCUAAUGUUUUCUGUCUUCUCUUCAGGUGCUUACAGCUCAGGAACUGCAACUUGACCUCGGUCAACAAGUAGUUCAAGUAUGGAUACCACACCUCGUCAACUGUCUGGAUAGAGUAUGGAUUCAUUUCCAGCUUUUAGCCUGGUCCCGGGACACAUGCAGGAGCCCAGAGUGAGGCGGCUGUGAGGACAUUCUGUCCCCUUUUCCAGACCCGUCUGUGUGUUCAUGGUUUCAUUGCCCCACUUUGUUUGGUCGUGUCGCAGAUCUUUUUCUCCAUCUGAAGACUUAGAAUCGAUAUUUUGAUGUGGAGAUCGAUUCUAAAAGACACACGUCUAGAUCAGAAGUAUCGAUAUUUCUGGAACGAUACCAUAUCCCUACAGCAUGGACCAGAGUAAAGACAGACUGGAGGGACCUGGACCUGGACCUGGACCUGGACCUGAACCGAGCUGUGUGUCCUUGAAGAGCGACCAGUCGAAGAACUUUGAGAGUAAUUUUAAAGGAGGACGUGGUUCUGGUCCAAAGAGGAAUGAACCUGGACCUGAACCCAGCUGUGUGUCCUUUAAGGGCGACCAGUCCAAGAAAAAUAUUUAUGACUUUAAAGAAAGUCAGAGGUAAGUUGUUGACUCCUUCCACCUGAUGAACCAGGCACCAGGUUCUGCAGAAUGUUCUGUAACUAACCACCAGUCAGUCGGUCGUACAACAGGGUGUGUUUUAAUGUCUGUAAAAGAUCAGACUUUAAUCUA
Mugil cephalus (flathead mullet) is the source of this 1056-nucleotide long non-coding RNA. RefSeq lists it as uncharacterized. The record is from RefSeq and is a predicted model, not a curated record. NCBI's taxonomy places the organism in Eukaryota, Metazoa, Chordata, Actinopteri, Mugiliformes, Mugilidae. The transcript has 5 exons.